CCUGUACUUUCUAUAAUAGUGAUGGAGUGACGGAGGAGGAUAAUCUUACCACUUACUGGAUUGUGGGGUAAGCGUUCACUGGUGACUGUAGGCAAAUCCGCAGUCUAUAACCGGGAGGCGUGAUGCAUAGGGUCAAACCGAAUUAGAUGAUUCCACACUUCCAAGAAAAGCUUCUAAACUUAAUAUUAUGGAAACCUGUACCGAGAACGGACACACGUCCCCGAGAUGAGUAUUCUAAGGCGAGCGAGAAAACUAGUGUAAGGAACUCUGCAAAAUGACCCCGUAAGUUCGCAAGAAGGGGCGCCUAAGGUAACACUUAGGCCACAGUAAAUUAUGAGGGGCAACUGUUUAUCAAAAACACAGCUCUCUGCUAAACCGCAAGGUGAUGUAUAGGGGGUGAAGCCUGCCCAGUGCCCGAAGGUUAAGUGGAUGCGUUAG
RNAcentral lists this ribosomal RNA (438 nucleotides) under Mycoplasmopsis fermentans. RNAcentral describes it as "bacterial LSU rRNA". It matches the Rfam family "Bacterial large subunit ribosomal RNA", at positions 1438 to 1893 of the family's 2925-position model. The record is from RNAcentral. Lineage: Bacteria; Bacillati; Mycoplasmatota; Mycoplasmoidales; Metamycoplasmataceae.